UUGGGGGCAAAGAUUUUAGAGAAGUUUGUUGUUACAUAUUAAACUUGCCUUUAGGAAGAUGUCAAACUUUGUCGGUGUUAUUCCCAGGUUGAACAUCGCAGCCUCAAAACCAGAUGUGGAUUUUAAUUGUCUACAGUGUUGCGGGCAAUGGAGGAGAAGACCCGAGUGACGACGAAUGCAAUAGUACUCCAACUAUAAGCUGCUCCAAUGGAAAUGCUGUUGCCGCAACCAUUCGUGAAAUCCGUAGAUAGCAGAUCCGAACAGGAACCAAGGAAAAAAAAUCAAACUAAUGAAUCUCAUAUAAUUUUUCAAUCCCUUCAAUAUUCAUAUAAGAUCAGAGAUUUUGUGUUGAUGGAGUUAACUACUGCUAUAGUAGAGUUAGUUUAAAAAAGAAUAAAAGAAAAAUUAGGAUAAUCAGGAGUGUAUUCGGGUUCAUCGGUUCUCUGAGUUUAGGAGAAUAUCAGUUUUAUCAAAUGUACAACAACAUUUGUACUGCAAAUCUUACUCAUGGAUACAUAUUAUAAUGAUUUCCCUUUUCAAA
This is a non-coding RNA of Punica granatum (pomegranate), 541 nucleotides long. The record is from RefSeq and is a predicted model, not a curated record. NCBI's taxonomy places the organism in Eukaryota, Viridiplantae, Streptophyta, Magnoliopsida, Myrtales, Lythraceae.